Salvia splendens (bonfire salvia) is the source of this 149-nucleotide small nuclear RNA. RefSeq annotates it as U4 spliceosomal RNA. The transcript has a single exon. Lineage: Eukaryota; Viridiplantae; Streptophyta; Magnoliopsida; Lamiales; Lamiaceae. The record is from RefSeq and is a predicted model, not a curated record.
UUCUUUGCGCUUGGGGCAAUGACGUAGUUAGUGAGGUUCUAACCAAGGCGCGUCUGUUGCUUGAAAACUAUUUCCAAACCUCCUCUUCGGCCGGGGCUUGACUCGGGCCAUUGGGAAUUUCUGGAAGGGCUCCCUCUUUUGGUCAAGCC